ACCUGAAUCUGCCUUUGAGCGGGGGACAACAUUUGCAAACGAAUGCUAAUACCGCAUAAAAACUUUAAACACAAGUUUUAAGUUUGAAAGAUGCAAUUGCAUCACUCAAAGAUGAUCCCGCGUUGUAUUAGCUAGUUGGUGAGGUAAAGGCUCACCAAGGCGAUGAUACAUAGCCGACCUGAGAGGGUGAUCGGCCACAUUGGGACUGAGACACGGCCCAAACUCCUACGGGAGGCAGCAGUAGGGAAUCUUCGGCAAUGGACGAAAGUCUGACCGAGCAACGCCGCGUGAGUGAAGAAGGUUUUCGGAUCGUAAAACUCUGUUGGUAGAGAAGAACGUUGGUGAGAGUGGAAAGCUCAUCAAGUGACGGUAACUACCCAGAAAGGGACGGCUAACUACGUGCCAGCAGCCGCGGUAAUACGUAGGUCCCGAGCGUUGUCCGGAUUUAUUGGGCGUAAAGCGAGCGCAGGUGGUUUAUUAAGUCUGGUGUAAAAGGCAGUGGCUCAACCAUUGUAUGCAUUGGAAACUGGUAGACUUGAGUGCAGGAGAGGAGAGUGGAAUUCCAUGUGUAGCGGUGAAAUGCGUAGAUAUAUGGAGGAACACCGGUGGCGAAAGCGGCUCUCUGGCCUGUAACUGACACUGAGGCUCGAAAGCGUGGGGAGCAAACAGGAUUAGAUACCCUGGUAGUCCACGCCGUAAACGAUGAGUGCUAGAUGUAGGGAGCUAUAAGUUCUCUGUAUCGCAGCUAACGCAAUAAGCACUCCGCCUGGGGAGUACGACCGCAAGGUUGAAACUCAAAGGAAUUGACGGGGGCCCGCACAAGCGGUGGAGCAUGUGGUUUAAUUCGAAGCAACGCGAAGAACCUUACCAGGUCUUGACAUACUCGUGCUAUUCCUAGAGAUAGGAAGUUCCUUCGGGACACGGGAUACAGGUGGUGCAUGGUUGUCGUCAGCUCGUGUCGUG
Molecule: ribosomal RNA, 963 nt
Filed under: Lactococcus lactis
Lineage: Bacteria; Bacillati; Bacillota; Bacilli; Lactobacillales; Streptococcaceae
Description: bacterial SSU rRNA
Rfam family: Bacterial small subunit ribosomal RNA
Source: RNAcentral